ACGAACGCUGGCGGCGUGCCUAAUACAUGCAAGUUGAGCGAUGAAGAUUGGUGCUUGCACCAAUUUGAAGAGCAGCGAACGGGUGAGUAACGCGUGGGGAAUCUGCCUUUGAGCGGGGGACAACAUUUGGAAACGAAUGCUAAUACCGCAUAAUAACUUUAAACAUAAGUUUUAAGUUUGAAAGAUGCAAUUGCAUCACUCAAAGAUGAUCCCGCGUUGUAUCAGCUAGUUGGUGAGGUAAAGGCUCACCAAGGCGAUGAUACAUAGCCGACCUGAGAGGGUGAUCGGCCACAUUGGGACUGAGACACGGCCCAAACUCCUACGGGAGGCAGCAGUAGGGAAUCUUCGGCAAUGGACGAAAGUCUGACCGAGCAACGCCGCGUGAGUGAAGAAGGUUUUCGGAUCGUAAAACUCUGUUGGUAGAGAAGAACGUUGGUGAGAGUGGAAAGCUCAUCAAGUGACGGUAACUACCCAGAAAGGGACGGCUAACUACGUG
RNAcentral lists this ribosomal RNA (496 nucleotides) under uncultured bacterium. Its description in RNAcentral is "partial 16S ribosomal RNA". It matches the Rfam family "Bacterial small subunit ribosomal RNA", at positions 29 to 507 of the family's 1533-position model. The record is from RNAcentral.